Molecule: long non-coding RNA, 132 nt
Organism: Dermochelys coriacea (leatherback sea turtle)
Lineage: Eukaryota; Metazoa; Chordata; Testudines; Dermochelyidae
Exons: 2
Source: RefSeq, a predicted model, not a curated record
CUUCCUAGGACAGAAAUUCUGAAGUCUGGCAAUCUUCAUCCAUCUCCAGCCACUCGGAUGUCUUCUUCCGAAAAUCCCUCAAAGUCUGGCUCUGAAUCAGUGCCACUGCUGGAGUUUUCCAAGUCUGAGCCG